AUACGGAGGGUGCGAGCGUUAAUCGGAAUUACUGGGCGUAAAGCGUGCGUAGGCGGUUUGAUAAGUCAGAUGUGAAAGCCCUGGGCUCAACCUGGGAACUGCAUUUGAAACUGGCGGGCUAGAAUAUGGAAGAGGGAAGUGGAAUUCCGGGUGUAGCGGUGAAAUGCGUAGAUAUCCGGAGGAACACCAGUGGCGAAGGCGGCUUCCUGGACCAAUAUUGACGCUGAGGUACGAAAGCGUGGGUAGCAAACAGGAUUAGAAACCCUAGUAGUCC
This 274-nucleotide ribosomal RNA is filed under the name uncultured bacterium. RNAcentral's name for it is "partial 16S ribosomal RNA". It matches the Rfam family "Bacterial small subunit ribosomal RNA", at positions 523 to 796 of the family's 1533-position model. The record is from RNAcentral.